This 424-nucleotide ribosomal RNA is filed under the name uncultured prokaryote. RNAcentral's name for it is "bacterial SSU rRNA". It matches the Rfam family "Bacterial small subunit ribosomal RNA", at positions 355 to 796 of the family's 1533-position model. The record is from RNAcentral.
UGGGGAAUAUUGGACAAUGGGGGCAACCCUGAUCCAGCCAUGCCGCGUGAGUGAUGAAGGCCUUAGGGUUGUAAAACUCUUUCACCGGUGACGAUAAUGACGGUAGCCGGAGAAGAAGCCCCGGCUAACUCCGUGCCAGCAGCCGCGGUAAUACGGAGGGGGCUAGCGUUGUUCGGAAUUAUUGGGCGUAAAGCGUCCGCAGGUGGUGCCUCAAGUCUGCUGUCAAAGACCGAAGCUCAACUUCGGGCAGGCAGUGGAAACUGAAGCACUAGAGUACGGUAGGGGUAGAGGGAAUUUCCAGUGUAGCGGUGAAAUGCGUAGAGAUUGGAAAGAACACCAGUGGCGAAGGCGCUCUACUGGACCGUAACUGACACUCAGGGACGAAAGCUAGGGGAGCGAAAGGGAUUAGAUACCCCCGUAGUCC